RNAcentral lists this ribosomal RNA (441 nucleotides) under uncultured bacterium. RNAcentral describes it as "partial 16S ribosomal RNA". It matches the Rfam family "Bacterial small subunit ribosomal RNA", at positions 338 to 795 of the family's 1533-position model. The record is from RNAcentral.
CCUACGGGAGGCUGCAGUGGGGAAUCUUGCGCAAUGGGGGCAACCCUGACGCCGCAACGCCGCGUGAUUGAAGAAGGCCUUCGGGUUUUAAAAAUCUUUAAUCGGGGACGAAUUUUGACGGUACCCUAAGAAUAAGCUCCUGCUAAAUACGUUCCAGCAGCCGCGGUAAUCCGUAUGGAGCAAGCGUUAUCCGGAUUUACUGGGUGUAAAGGGCGUGUAGGCGGGCAUGCAAGCCAGAAGUGAAAUCUGGGGGCUUAACCCCCGAGCUGCUUUUGGAACUGCGGGUCUUGAGUGAUGGAGAGGCAGGCGGAAUUCCCAGUGUAGCGGUGAAAUGCGUAGAUAUUGGGAGGAACACCAGUGGCGAAGGCGGCCUGCUGGACAUUAACUGACGCUGAGGCGCGAAAGCGUGGGGAGCAAACAGGAUUAGAUACCCGAGUAGUC